RNAcentral lists this ribosomal RNA (406 nucleotides) under uncultured bacterium. RNAcentral's name for it is "partial 16S ribosomal RNA". It matches the Rfam family "Bacterial small subunit ribosomal RNA", at positions 30 to 525 of the family's 1533-position model. The record is from RNAcentral.
AUUGAACGCUGGCGGCAGGCCUAACACAUGCAAGUCGAACGAGAGGCGGACGGGUGAGUAAUGUCUGGGAACCUGCCUGUUGGAGGGGGAUAACUACUGGAAACGGUAGCUAAUACCGCAUACCAUCGGAUGUGCCCAGAUGGGUUUAGCUAGUAGGUGGGGUAAAGGCUCACCUAGGCGACGAUCCCUAGCUGGUCUGAGAGGAUGACCAGCCACACUGGAACUGAGACACGGUCCAGACUCCUACGGGAGGCAGCAGUGGGGAAUAUUGCACAAUGGGCGCAAGCCUGAUGCAGCCAUGCCGCGUGUAUGAAGAAGGCCUUCGGGUUGUAAAGUACUUUCAGCGGGGAGGCGUUAACCGCAGAAGAAGCACAGGCUAACUCCGUGCCAGCAGCCGCGGUAAUUA